GGAAGGGGGCAGGGAGAAAGAAAGAAACUUCUAAACAAUACAAAGAGAAUUAGAAGUUGGAAUGUUGAGUGAGCAAAGUGGUUGAGUUGGGACUCCAUGUUUUGCCUGUACCAUGUUGGUCCCUCCCAGGCAUCUGUCCACUUUAUAGGUUAACACUUCAGAAUGGCCUGACCAAGUUUAUCAAAAUAGGUGUGCCCCAUUGUAAUAUGCCAUGUUUCCCAGGUUCUUCUUCUUCAGGUAGGGAGAUUCACUAACAUUCCACUUAAGAAGUAGCUGACCUUGCUCAAAAUUGAAUGCUGGCCAACCAACACUCCCCAGGAAAAAAAAAAUUAUAAUAAAGGGACUUCUCAUAGCCACUGCUCAACUAUUGGGAAAAGAGGGACAAUACCCAAUGUACAAUUACAUUCCAAACUGCAACACUAAAGCAAGGAGAGAGAAAUCCACCUGUCUGUUGUAGAACCGACUCAUCAAGGAGAGACAAGAAAUUUCUGGCUGGUCUUUCAUCCCCAUGGGCUGCCCAGCCUACCCUGACAGAUGAGCAAUUGUCCCCAUGAAAGAAGAAAGCAAAGAAGCCUUCCCCAGACCUCACUGUUCCUCAUUCCAAAUGUCUUGUAAGUCCUAGGGGCACUGAAAGAGUUUGUCCUCAGCCAAAUACAACUUCCUGUUUCUAAGAAAGGGAAGAAAAAAAAUAGUUGAAAGGAUUUUUGGACAGUGGAGAUUUCAAGUUUCUGUAAACGCAAAUGAAUCAGACACAUGUGGAAUAAAUUUCUCC
This 772-nucleotide long non-coding RNA is filed under the name Marmota monax (woodchuck). The record is from RNAcentral. Lineage: Eukaryota; Metazoa; Chordata; Mammalia; Rodentia; Sciuridae.